Molecule: ribosomal RNA, 469 nt
Filed under: uncultured bacterium
Lineage: Bacteria
Description: partial 16S ribosomal RNA
Rfam family: Bacterial small subunit ribosomal RNA
Source: RNAcentral
GGACGAACGCUGGCGGCGUGCUUACCCCAUGCAAGUCGAACGGAAAGGCCCUGCUUUUGUGGGGUGCUCGAGUGGCGAACGGGUGUGUAACACGUGAGUAACCUGCCCUUGACUUUGGGAUAACUUCAGGAAACUGGGGCUAAUACCGGAUAGGAGCUCCUGCUGCAUGGUGGGGGUUGGAAAGUUUCGGCGGGUGGGGAUGGACUCGGGGCUUAUCAGCUUGUUGGUGGGGUAGUGGCUUACCAAGGCUUUGACGGGUAGUCGGCCUGAGUGGGUGACCGGCCACAUUAGGACUGAGAUACGGACCAGACGCCUACGGGAGGCAGCAGUGGAGAAUAUUGCACAAUGGGCGGAAGCCUGAUGCAGCAACGCCGCGUGCGGGAUGACGGCCUUCGGGUUGUAAACCGCUUUCGCCUGUGACGAAGCGUGAGUGACGGUAAUGGGUAAAGAAGCACCGGCUAACUACGUG